UGAACGCUGGCGGCAGGCCUAACACAUGCAAGUCGAACGGUAACAGGAAGCAGCUUGCUGCUUUGCUGACGAGUGGCGGACGGGUGAGUAAUGUCUGGGAAACUGCCCGAUGGAGGGGGAUAACUACUGGAAACGGUAGCUAAUACCGCAUAACGUCGCAAGACCAAAGAGGGGGACCUUAGGGCCUCUUGCCAUCGGAUGUGCCCAGAUGGGAUUAGCUAGUAGGUGGGGUAACGGCUCACCUAGGCGACGAUCCCUAGCUGGUCUGAGAGGAUGACCAGCCACACUGGAACUGAGACACGGUCCAGACUCCUACGGGAGGCAGCAGUGGGGAAUAUUGCACAAUGGGCGCAAGCCUGAUGCAGCCAUGCCGCGUGUAUGAAGAAGGCCUUCGGGUUGUAAAGUACUUUCAGCGGGGAGGAAGGGAGUAAAGUUAAUACCUUUGCUCAUUGACGUUACCCGCAGAAGAAGCACCGGCUAACUCCGUGCCAGCAGCCGCGGUAAUACGGAGGGUGCAAGCGUUAAUCGGAAUUACUGGGCGUAAAGCGCACGCAGGCGGUUUGUUAAGUCAGAUGUGAAAUCCCCGGGCUCAACCUGGGAACUGCAUCUGAUACUGGCAAGCUUGAGUCUCGUAGAGGGGGGUAGAAUUCCAGAUGUAGCGGUGAAAUGCGUAGAGAUCUGGAGGAAUACCGGUGGCGAAGGCGGCCCCCUGGACGAAGACUGACGCUCAGGUGCGAAAGCGUGGGGAACAAACAGGAUUAGAUACCCUGGUAGUCCACGCCGUAAACGAUGUCGACUUGGAGGUUGUGCCCUUGAGGCGUGGCUUCCGGAGCUAACGCGUUAAGUCGACCGCCUGGGGAGUACGGCCGCAAGGUUAAAACUCAAAUGAAUUGACGGGGGCCCGCACAAGCGGUGGAGCAUGUGGUUUAAUUCGAUGCAACGCGAAGAACCUUACCUGGUCUUGACAUCCACGGAAGUUUUCAGAGAUGAGAAUGCGCCUUCGGGAACCGUGAGACAGGUGCUGCAUGGCUGUCGUCAGCUCGUGUUGUGAAAUGUUGGGUUAAGUCCCGCAACGAGCGCAACCCUUAUCCUUUGUUGCCAGCGGUCCGGCCGGGAACUCAAAGGAGACUGCCAGUGAUAAACUGGAGGAAGGUGGGGAUGACGUCAAGUCACCAUGGCCCUUACGACCAGGGCUACACACGUGCUACAAUGGCGCAUACAAAGAGAAGCGACCUCGCGAGAGCAAGCGGACCUCAUAAAGUGCGUCGUAGUCCGGAUUGGAGUCUGCAACUCGACUCCAUGAAGUCGGAAUCGCUAGUAAUCGUGGAUCAGAAUGCCACGGUGAAUACGUUCCCGGACCUUGUACACACCGCCCGUCACACCAUGGGAGUGGGUUGCAAAAGAAGUAGGUAGCUUAACCUUCGGGAGGGCGCUUACCACUUUGUGAUUCAUGACUGGGG
RNAcentral lists this ribosomal RNA (1460 nucleotides) under uncultured organism. RNAcentral describes it as "16S ribosomal RNA". It matches the Rfam family "Bacterial small subunit ribosomal RNA". The record is from RNAcentral.